AUAGAAAUAAUCACCACCGUAUCCAGCAUAUGUUUAUAUUUGUUGCAUUCCUUUUGUGCUAGGAUAUAAAUAUAUAUAUACACAUCUGAUAUAUUAAUUCUUAAACAUUAAGGUUCUCUAGAUAUCUAGCACCACCGUAUGUUGCUAUAUAUGUUUAUUAGUUGUGUAGAACCAUAGCAUCCAAGAAGAUUAGCAUUUCCAUGUAUAGCUAAUAAAAGGGCACUAGCCAUGGUAUUUUCAAGCCACUGAUUCAACGUGAAAAUGGGGAAUUUGGCCUAGGGAGAGAGUUGCUCCAAGACCAUGUAUAACUAUCCUCUUCCGUCGACUUUAUGCUUAUAACAUCGGUUUCCUCCGGAUCCUAGCAAAUCAGAGAAUUUUUUUCAAAGAGAAGGUGGAAGAAAAGUAUUUCUUGGCAUAUAAGGUAACGGCGUGACAUUGGGGGAGGGCAAGUGAAGGAUAACAUAGCUAAACGACAAAGGUAGACAGGAAGGUGAGCUUGGUCCAGACCCUUAGUAGCUGUCAACUGAUUGAGAGCACUCCAUUGUCCGGAGGUGCUUAUGGUUCUUCUUUUGGUAUAUAUGCAUAUUUUGGGCAUGACGGAGUGUUGUUCCGUCUAUAUGUUUAGUAUGUCAGUAGAGGCUCGUAGAUACGCAGUGUGGGUCAGAUGGUCUGGCAAGAUGUUAUUAUUAUGUAUAUGUUAUUUUGAUGGCCGAGAGGCAAAUGUAUAUAAGUAUUUAUGUUUUUAUAUAAAAUAUGAUUUUCCUACAAUUCCUGUAUAAAAUUGGUAAAAGAGCAUUAAAUGAGUAAGAUGAGUAUUAGAGCGAGUGGUGCUCGGUGGCUAGCCCCGGGUACCCGUCGUGGCCCCUAGCUGGGUCGUGACAUCUUUUAUCCUUCAAAACUGCCAGUCAGUCCCCUACGAGUUUUAUACUCGACAUUUUCGAUCAUCAUGCUGGAAAAGUUUUCAUUCGAUUGCUAUUAUAUCUGAACUUAACCUUUUUUUUUUUUUUUAGAAGAGGUUUUAGUAAUAUAAGAGAGAACCCUUAUUUUCGGUGUUUUAGAAAAAGACGUCUCCAAUUCGUUUUGGCACAUAUUUUCGGUAUGCCAUACAUUUCAUCAGUUUAAUGUACUUGCUUUCCAUGGCAAAGAUUUUUCAUAAGAAGCAAAAUUUUAUUGAUUCCAUUUACUUUUACAUGAG
Lycium barbarum (goji berry) is the source of this 1195-nucleotide long non-coding RNA. RefSeq lists it as uncharacterized. The record is from RefSeq and is a predicted model, not a curated record. Lineage: Eukaryota; Viridiplantae; Streptophyta; Magnoliopsida; Solanales; Solanaceae. The transcript is spliced from 3 exons.